GACUUGACAGUUGGACAUUCUAUCUAGAUCUGAAUCUCAAUUGAUCGUAUCCUCCGCUCAAUUCCCAUCGCCAUCUUCCAGGUUCCACCCGCGAUGGUCAUCUCCUCUAAUCGAUGCCCGCUAGAGCGCCACUGAUGAUUCGCGGUUGAGUUACGGAAGAACCACCAGACAACCAUCAUCACUGCUGGAAUCCUUGUCGGUCGACUCCUCUUCGCUUCAAUCCUUAUGUCAGCCAUGGACAGGCGUUUCAAAGUGCAGCGCUUUUUGAUUCUUUAACGGUUCGGGAUAAUGUUGGUUUUCUUAUGUAUGAGCAUUCAAGAAUGCCCGAGGAUAAAAUUAAAGAACUUGUUGCAGAAACAUUGGUUGCAGUUGGAUUAAAGGUGAGUCAUUUUUUUGUUUAAGCAAAUCAAACACCUUUAGUGGCGUCAUUUUUUUGUUUAUACGAUCACUAGGUGGGUAGUUGCACUACCAUGUGGAGUUCAUAAACUUACAAAGGCUUUCAAGCUAGAUCUUGCUAUAUAUUCCAGCUUACAAGUAUGUUUGUUUGCUACUAUCAAUUGUUUUAUCUUUUAUGUCCCUAAGGUUUUCCGACUUCUUUUGAUUAGUGUUCUAGUUGAGACUGUAAUUUAUGUGGUUUUCAGUUGGAAUUGACGACUAAUAUUUCUAUUUAUUAAUAAGAAGGAUGCUAAACCUUGCGCACUGGUUGCACUGUGGAAGGCUAACACCUUUAGUGGAGCAAUGAAGAUUUUGAAGACCACUCACUUAAGGAACCAUGUCGUUGUGUGAAGAGUAGAGGAAUACUCGGCGUUGGAUAUGGAUGGCAUUUGCGAAGAAUGGUCGAGUUAGGCAACAACUUUUGUUUUUAAGUGACAAACUGUAUUUUAGGUAUCAGCGAAUGUAUUGUCAAACAAUAUUUUUGUUAAUGUAAAAAUAUUUGUAGUAUAAUUGCAAAUGAUUAUGCAUGGGUUUU
RNAcentral lists this long non-coding RNA (970 nucleotides) under Helianthus annuus (common sunflower). RNAcentral's name for it is "hypothetical non coding rna". The record is from RNAcentral. Lineage: Eukaryota; Viridiplantae; Streptophyta; Magnoliopsida; Asterales; Asteraceae.